GAUGAACGCUGGCGGCGUGCCUAAUACAUGCAAGUCGAGCGAACAGAUGAGGAGCUUGCUCCUCUGACGUUAGCGGCGGACGGGUGAGUAACACGUGGAUAACCUACCUAUAAGACUGGGAUAACUUCGGGAAACCGGAGCUAAUACCGGAUAAUAUAUUGAACCGCAUGGUUCAAUAGUGAAAGACGGUUUUGCUGUCACUUAUAGAUGGAUCCGCGCCGCAUUAGCUAGUUGGUAAGGUAACGGCUUACCAAGGCAACGAUGCGUAGCCGACCUGAGAGGGUGAUCGGCCACACUGGAGCUGAGACACGGUCCAGACUCCUACGGGAGGCAGCAGUAGGGAAUCUUCCGCAAUGGGCGAAAGCCUGACGGAGCAACGCCGCGUGAGUGAUGAAGGUCUUCGGAUCGUAAAACUCUGUUAUUAGGGAAGAACAAAUGUGUAAGUAACUAUGCACGUCUUGACGGGACCUAAUCAGAAAGCCACGGCUAACUACGU
RNAcentral lists this ribosomal RNA (496 nucleotides) under uncultured bacterium. RNAcentral's name for it is "partial 16S ribosomal RNA". It matches the Rfam family "Bacterial small subunit ribosomal RNA", at positions 28 to 506 of the family's 1533-position model. The record is from RNAcentral.